RNAcentral lists this long non-coding RNA (205 nucleotides) under Prunus persica (peach). RNAcentral describes it as "long non-coding RNA (PPER_LNC001056)". The record is from RNAcentral. Lineage: Eukaryota; Viridiplantae; Streptophyta; Magnoliopsida; Rosales; Rosaceae.
CGGGUUUUCAGUGAAAUCCAAUCUCUAGAACUAUGCAAUCCACCAACCGCUCCAUUUCAGAAGUAACUUCAUAAGAACCUGAAUUGUCUGUUUUCAUGGACCAAUCGAUAUCGGAUUGUGUCCAAUCCUUGAAGAACAACAUAACAUGGUGGGAAGAGUCAUUUGGUGCGUUUUGAGUGAAAUCCAAAGGCUAAAACUAUGCAAU